Molecule: long non-coding RNA, 613 nt
Organism: Solanum dulcamara
Lineage: Eukaryota; Viridiplantae; Streptophyta; Magnoliopsida; Solanales; Solanaceae
Exons: 4
Source: RefSeq, a predicted model, not a curated record
UCCUUUUCUUCAAGAGAGUUCAAGAAGAGAGAAGAAGAAAAAGAAACCUUGAGCUAGAGAGAGAGAGCUCGGAUUUGGGAGGAAAAAAUAGCAAAAAUGAGCUGCAAACAGUCCGCAACUUUCAGCACGCUAAAGAGGUUUCCGAGGCACAAUUUUGGCUAGUUUUGGCCAAUUUCGGGUAAGGUUCAAAGGACGACGAGGCGAACGGGAUAAAGAGUAACCCGUAAGAGAUAUGUUUCCAGCUAUGUUAUGCUAUACUAUGUUUCACAUACUCAGUACAUAUAUCGUACUGACCCUCUUUCUUCGGGGGGCUGCGUUCAUGCCCGCAGGUACAUAUACACCAUUUGGGGAUCCGCCAGCAUAGGAGUUCCACUCAGCAGUCCGAAAGUGCUCCAUUGUGCUGGAGCCUGAUUUUGGGUACUAAACCUUAUUGUAUAUAUUUGUUUUGCUCACGGGUACGACGGGGGCCCUGUCCCGCCUUAUGUUACUGUUUUCUUACUCUUAGAGGUCUGUGGAUACGGAUGUGGGUUGUAUGUAUGUGGGUUGUAUGUGUACGUGAGUUGUAUAUAUAUGUAUGUACAGCUGUAUUGAUAUGACUUAUGAUUUUGGGGCA